This 799-nucleotide small RNA is filed under the name Pongo abelii (Sumatran orangutan). Its description in RNAcentral is "retained intron". The record is from RNAcentral. Lineage: Eukaryota; Metazoa; Chordata; Mammalia; Primates; Hominidae.
GUCCCGCCCCGCCCGCAGCUGGUGAGCCGUGGCUGCGAGACCCGCGAGCUCGCUCUGCCCCGUGACGGUCAAGGCCGCCUGGGCUUCGAGGUGGACGCCGAGGGCUUCGUCACGCACGUGGAGCGCUUCACGUUCGCCGAGACGGCGGGACUGCGGCCCGGGGCGCGCCUGCUGCGCGUGUGCGGCCAGACGCUGCCCAGCCUCCGGCCCGAGGCCGCUGCCCAGCUGCUGCGCUCGGCGCCCAAGGUCUGCGUCACCGUCCUGCCCCCCGACGAGAGCGGCCGGCCCCGCAGGCCUCUGGGAAAGCGCCUUCCCUUUCUGAGCCACCCCUGCUCUCCCCAGCUCCCUGUCGGAUGAGGCCCCAGUCCUGCCCACCACCACCCCGGACCUCCUCCUGGCCACCACAGCCAACCCAUCAGUACCCAGUGCUGACAGUGAGACACCCGUGACCCAGGACAGGCCAGGCAGUCCCAGUGGCUCUGAGGACAAGGGCAACCCGGCCCCGGAGCUGAGGGCCUCCUUUCUGCCACGUACCUUGUCUCUGCGGAACUCCAUCAGCAGGAUCAUGUCGGAGGCGGGCAGUGGGACCCUGGAGGACGAGUGGCAGGCCAUCUCGGAGAUUGCCUCCACUUGCAACACCAUUCUGGAGUCGCUGUCCCGAGAGGGACAGCCCAUCCCAGAGAGCGGAGACCCUAAGGGAACUCCAAAGUCUGAUGCUGAGCCAGAGCCUGGGAACCUCUCAGAGAAGGUCUCUCACUUGGAGUCCAUGCUCAGGAAGCUGCAGGAGGACCUGCAGAAG